UAGGGAAUCUUCGGCAAUGGACGAAAGUCUGACCGAGCAACGCCGCGUGAGUGAAGAAGGUUUUCGGAUCGUAAAACUCUGUUGUUAGAGAAGAACAAGGACGUUAGUAACUGAACGUCCCCUGACGGUAUCUAACCAGAAAGCCACGGCUAACUACGUGCCAGCAGCCGCGGUAAUACGUAGGUGGCAAGCGUUGUCCGGAUUUAUUGGGCGUAAAGCGAGCGCAGGCGGUUUCUUAAGUCUGAUGUGAAAGCCCCCGGCUCAACCGGGGAGGGUGAUUGGAAACUGGGAGACUUGAGUGCAGAAGAGGAGAGUGGAAUUCCAUGUGUAGCGGUGAAAUGCGUAGAUAUAUGGAGGAACACCAGUGGCGAAGGCGGCUAUCUGGUCUGUAACUGACGCUGAGGCUCGAAAGCGUGGGGAGCAAACAGG
Molecule: ribosomal RNA, 429 nt
Filed under: Gemmatimonadota bacterium
Lineage: Bacteria; Pseudomonadati; Gemmatimonadota
Description: Gemmatimonadetes bacterium partial 16S ribosomal RNA
Rfam family: Bacterial small subunit ribosomal RNA
Source: RNAcentral